This is a long non-coding RNA of Chlorocebus sabaeus (green monkey), 2782 nucleotides long. RefSeq lists it as uncharacterized. The record is from RefSeq and is a predicted model, not a curated record. Lineage: Eukaryota; Metazoa; Chordata; Mammalia; Primates; Cercopithecidae.
AGUUAGACUCCAUUUGAGGAAAAAAAAAAAAAAGGAAAGUAAGUGCAGACUCCAGAGCCCAAUAACCUGGGUGUGGACCAUAACUGCCCACUCCUAACUGCUUUGAUGGUGGGAAGUCAGUUUAUCUGUCUCUGUGCGUCAGUUUCCACAACUGUGAAAUGGGCAUCAGUACUGUAUCUACGUCACAGGGUCAUUACAAGAAUGAAAUGAGCAAAUAUGAAUGAAGUGUUUAGAAACGGGCCUUACUCCAUGUCAGCUCUAUGCAGGUAUGAUUGGUCCUUGCUGAAGGAAUGAAAUUCCAUGUCAGUCAAUGGGUUAUUGCCAGGCCCAGGCCCAGGCUGGUCAGAGCUCUGGCCAACUGGGCCCACACAGGGUGUGGCAGGGCAGCCAGUGUCAGCACAUCCAAAGUCCCCCGGCCUGCUGAGUUGGCAGAGGGCCUGCCCUGACACUCCCCAGCCCCAAAGAACAUCCUAGAAAGGAGACUGGGGCUUCCUUAGGUGUCAGUGGGUAGAGGGAACAGGAGAUUGGGAGCCCCUAACCGUGGCUGAGACCCUCCCACAGCCCUCGCUGUGUGGCCAGGCCUGGCACGGGGCAGUGGCACAUGUUUUCCAUGGCAUGUGGAGGGUACAAGGGUGCAGGACUUACUCCAGGGGGCUGUAGUCACAUGUGUGUGCUUAUGGGGGCUCAAAAUCUUCCAGCCAACGGGCACUUUCCUGCUCUGACUAGAACCCAUAGCAGCAAGUCCAGGCCAGUCCGUCUGGCCCUAAUUCUGAGCUAACUUGUACUUCUAAUGAUUUCAUCCAGAAAGUCAGUCAGUCAGUCAACAAACAUUUUUGGAGGCCCUAUUGCAUGUCACACCAUUAAAGUGGAGGUACACAGAGGUCUCUGUCUUGAAGAAUGGGAUCAUUGCACUGAGAAAGGGGUUCCUGGCUACAGGCAUUGUGUGCGCCAAGGCACAGUGGAAAGGGAAAGCCUACCCAAGGUGGGAAAUGUGGCCAAAGGGAGGGCAGAUGGGAGGAGGGCAGGGCAGGAGGCAGGGCUGGGGCUGAGAUGAGGAAGGGCCCUGCGAGGCAGGCUCAGGGGUCCAGCAUCUUCUGGAAGGAGGCCUUGAAGGUGCAACUUCAAAUAUCCAGAGAUUGAAGGCGGCUUUCCUGCCAUCCCAUGAGGCCUGGUCCAGGAGCUGUUCAGUGAACCUUGGCUAGUUAAUGGCAGCAUGAGUGCUGGGUGGGUCUGAGGGUCCAGGUUACCCUAUACAGUGCAGACCACAUGAUUGGGUCAUUGUGGAGUUGUGCAACAUUGCAUCUCUGUGGCAUCUGGAGCCUGGUAUCUGGGCAUUUGUGACCGUGCCCAUUUGUGUGUGUCAGCGAGUGUCUGUGGGCUGUGGUUCAGCCACUGUGUGUGUGUGUGUAUGUGUGUGUGUGUGUGUGUGUGUGCAUGGUGUAGUGUCUGCCGUGAUUGACUCCCUAGGUGCUGGAGGGCUGACGAGUGUUAGUCCAUAGAUACAGCCUGCCCCAAUCCCAUCCUAGGCACAGCUGCUCUGGUGAGAACACCUGGAGGUGAUUCCACAUCUGGGCUUGCAGUAGUAACAGCAGCAGGAUCAUACCGGGCUGGAAGAACAAACAUUUCCUGAGCACUGGCUUGUGCCAGACACCGUUACAGGCACUGGAGAGAUAGCAGUGAAAAAACCAAUGGCCCCUGCCCACAGGAGGCAGAUGUCCCAGCCAGGGAGACCUAGGAGGCUGCAGGGCCUGUGCCCAGCCUCUGGGGAGGGCCCGGCUGGCCUAUCUGCAGAGAGAGCCCACACUUCAAAUGGAGCAGCCUCUGGCCCCCAGGUAAUGAGGGUGGGGUGUGCCUGGGGCCCUGCUGAUUGAUGGGGAAUCCCAGCUCCCUUACCUCACACCUGCAGCCCUACCUCCUGCCUCCCAGCAUAGCCCCUGUGUGUGAGGCACAGCUCUGGAACCCUCUAGGGCUCUGCUGGCCCAUGGUGCCCCACCUGAUCACCCUGGGAAGUGGGCCAGGCAGGGCUGGAGGUGAGAGGGGAGGAGGGAAGUAGAUCAAGGAUGACCUCCCAUCUUAUCAAACAUCUGAGCCCCUCCAUCAUCCCCUCCUUCAAUGGGGUCUUCUUCCCUGGCUGCAAGUGGAUAGUCCGGGUAAGUAGAAGCUGGGGCUGCCUGGGUGUCACCCCCCACCCCCGCCUCUGACACUCCCUCACUCUCUCUACUGUGUGUCCCAUUUACCUUAUCUUCUCUCGCCCUCGUCACUACUCCGAGUUAAUAACAGUCGUGUGUUGAUCUGUUAGCAGGCAUGAUGCUAAGUGAUUUGCAUGUAUGCUCUCCUUUAAUCCUCACAACGACCCUGUGAGGUCAGCAAUUGUUAUUCCACUAGAAGGGAGAAAGCCACAGCUCAGAGGCAUCCACAUCGCCCAGUGAGGAGGGCAGAGAGUACGGCUUCCUGUCCAGGUUCUGGAGAGCACUUAGCUGUACUGCGGCCUUGGGAUCAUGCUCUGCUGCUCUCCUCCCAGCCGUGGUCCCUUGGUGGGAGCUGAGCUGUGUCCUCGAAGGUUGUGGACUGUGACCAUUGUUCACGGGAACCAGAGACAUCACUCUUUAGGAUUCUACCAGCAACACCUGAAUGGGCUCGACAUUCGUGGAGGUGAUGUUUCCCUGGAUUACUGACUUUUGUUUUAUAAUAAUUAAAAUCUUUAUUUGGUCUUAUUUAAUAUAGUUUAGAAGCUAUCCAAUCUGUUUUUUUUGGAGAGGCAAACUUCUUUUGAAAAUGUAAG